RNAcentral lists this long non-coding RNA (1144 nucleotides) under Equus caballus (horse). RNAcentral's name for it is "lncRNA (ENSECAG00000028170.2)". The record is from RNAcentral. Lineage: Eukaryota; Metazoa; Chordata; Mammalia; Perissodactyla; Equidae.
CACGACCAUUUGAGACCCGGGGACCAGGCCCUGCGGUCAUUCCAGGUUUGUCCAUGAGGAAGCUGAGCAAGCGAGACGAGAAGGCACCCACACUCAGAAUCAGCAGCAGAGACCUCAAACCACAAAUGCGUCACCCCAAGGGAGAGCAAAGGGGACCAGGUGCCACGGGGUAGGGCAAGGAGGAGCGGGCAGGUCAGCUGCCGUCUGCUCAGAAAGAGAAACUGGCCCACAGAUCACAAAUGUCCACAGAGCAGCAAGAAAGAAGCCAGCCUGACAGUCAGACAGGAAUCAAAUCCCUCUCUGCCUCCUCCUGGCUGUGUGACCCUGAGGAGUUUCCAGCAUCGGCUCCAAACGAGUGGAAGUCCGGCCCCAUCCUCCAACUUCCUGUCGGCAAGUCCGGGCCUCGGCUAGCCCAUUCAGCCAGAAGGCGCCUGGCGGAGGGCUCCAGCGUUCGCUCUUGCCUUCCCCUCCUCCAGCCUCUUCUCCCUCUGGCCUCCACCCAGCUCCACGGUGACCAUCCUUCAGGUGGAAUUCCCUCCCCAGCGGCAGCGGAUGCAUCUCCCUCUUCCCAGCCCAAGGGACCUUUCCUCCUAUGGGCAGGCACAGCCCGCACUGGGCGCAUCCCGUCCCGGCCCCCGAGUAGAGUGUAAGCUCUGUGUGGGCCAAAGCGAAGACUGCACAUGGUUAUUUCCACCCCACGCGCCUCCCCCUGGCACAGAGGUGGAGCAGGCACUAGGUAAACACUUACUGGUGGAGGAGAAGGAAACAGCUCCAAGGUGCAAUGCGCCGAUUUCCUGACACUCCAGGUCACCUGGUGGAGCAAGGACAUUGUUCUGAGAAGUCUGCACCCAUAAAGAUAAGGGAGAGAGGAAAGGCCAUACACCAUAAUUUCUCCCAUGUUACUGCAGAUGAUUUCAUAUCGAAAUGGAAGGUGGAGGGGAGGCAGGAAUGACGGCACCCUAGACGGAGCAGGGCCCCGAGGGGCGGGGGAAUCUGUAAUUGGUGACCGCAACUUGCUCCUGCACUUUCAAGGUGCGGUUCUCCAGGGAAUAAAAAUAAAUGUUUUUUCUCAAAAUUGAAGGGAAGUUACAGUAAAGAUGCCUGUGGGGGCGUGUAUCUUCCGAGCGGACAUCUCCAGGGCCGG